AGCGAACGCUGGCGGCAGGCCUAACACAUGCAAGUCGAACGAACCUUUCGGGGUUAGUGGCGGACGGGUGAGUCACACGUGGGAACGUGCCUUUAGGUUCGGAAUAACUCAGGGAAACUUGUGCUAAUACCGAAUGUGCCCUUCGGGGGAAAGAUUAAUCGCCUUUAGAGCGGCCCGCGUCUGAUUAGCUAGUUGGUUGAGGUAAUGGCUCACCAAGGCGACGAUCAGUAGCUGGUCUGAGAGGAUGAUCAGCCACAUUGGGACGGAGACACGGCCCAAACUCCUACGGGAGGCAGCAGUGGGGAAUCUUGCGCAAUGGGCGAAAGCCUGACGCAGCCAUGCCGCGUGAAUGAUGAAGGUCUUAGGAUUGUAAAAUUCUUUCACCGGGGACGAUAAUGACGGUACCCGGAGAAGAAGCCCCGGCUAACUUCGUG
This 434-nucleotide ribosomal RNA is filed under the name uncultured bacterium. RNAcentral describes it as "partial 16S ribosomal RNA". It matches the Rfam family "Bacterial small subunit ribosomal RNA", at positions 29 to 507 of the family's 1533-position model. The record is from RNAcentral.